Molecule: small nuclear RNA, 128 nt
Organism: Acomys russatus (golden spiny mouse)
Lineage: Eukaryota; Metazoa; Chordata; Mammalia; Rodentia; Muridae
Source: RefSeq, a predicted model, not a curated record
AUGUCAGAGGGAAAGGUGAGAAAGUUAGCAUUCCCCUUGACAAAGAUGGAAAGAGGUCCUUGGGCCUAACAACAUGUAUACAGUUAAGGCAUUGCUACCUACUUCGUAGCACCUAACCACUGUUUUUA